Molecule: long non-coding RNA, 2682 nt
Organism: Bombus huntii
Lineage: Eukaryota; Metazoa; Arthropoda; Insecta; Hymenoptera; Apidae
Exons: 3
Source: RefSeq, a predicted model, not a curated record
CUCAAACCGCUAUGCCCAUGCACGGACACGAACGAGCUCAAUUUGAGGAACGCCGACCCAUUGAAAUAGGCUUCCCUGGAACGUUCAUCGUAGUUUUUGUGUCUGGAAUCUUGCGGCGCUUCGUCGGUGACUACUAAUAAGCUCAUAUUGACCGAAAGUAGGAAAGGAAGGACGGUGUAACCGAUUAUGUGAGUGUUCCAAUUUCUGUUAUCGCUAUUAACUAUGUAGGUUGAAAUUUCGGUAAGAUAAUGUACGCUUGUAUUGGAUUCUAAUCGACAUGUGUACACGAAAGAUUUGAUUUCUCUGCUCACUGAAACGUUCAAUUUAGGUUACUGAAUUGCAUCCUCUUCGAUAAACUAGUCGAAUUCCUAGUUUUAUUCGAUAUUGAACGAAUUCCAUAUAUUUAGUUACACUUUUUUCUUUAUCCGAGUUCUGGUUUAUUUACGACAUUUCUUUUUAUAUCUCUGUAGCUUGCGUGGCCUCGUGCUAUAGAAUAUUUAUUAAGAGAGUAAGUUUUCCAAUUUAAGCUUUAUCAUUAGGUAUUUUAAAAAUACAAACAUCCGUAACUUUCCAAGCAAGGCGGUUGAUGAAGUCCACUGCACCCACAGGAGGAUCGAUGGUAACCAAUAAAUAAUGCAUGAGAUGCAUCUGCACGCCCUCGUAAGGUUGUAUAGUUAGGAGAGACUCGUUUAAGGUGGACAUUACGGUUAUACACCGGCGAAAAUUCGUCGAAAUCACGAACCUUGGUUAAUUACAACUACAACGUAUUGAUUAUUCACGCGGAAUGUUUAUCACGUGAAAAAUAAAUUUCAGAACAGAUAAAACAGAUAUUUUCCAUUUAUUUAUUUAUAUAUAUAUACAUAUCGCUAUAUUAUAUUUAUAUAUAAUCAUCAUCAUUUAUUUAUAUAUGUAGAUAAAUUAUGUUUAGAUAAACUAAUCCAGGUAAAUGGAAUUAAUCGCACUUUUUUUGAAAUUAAAGUGCGCAUGUUACACGCCAGGUUGCCAUGGGAAAACAGAAUUUAAGAUAACAUUAUAAUUCGAUAGAGUUAACGUCGCGUAUCUGGCCUUGUCUGCCUACACUUUGAAAUAAUUCAAUACAUACAUCCUUCGAAUGUAUCGAGUACAUGGAAAAAAAUUAAAUGUUACUCGAAUGACUAAUAAUGGGAAAAAGGCAAAAGUGUGUUGGAGUGCGAUUAAAUAGUGAGAGAGUUUGUUGGAAAGGAAAAAAUGGCAUACACCUGGUAUGAACCUAUGGUACGUACACGAUCGUAGAAAGAAAUCAUAAACGAUUUAUAAAGAACACGAUGGUAAUAGUUCUUACUUCUUACAUUGUCAAUAAUUAGGAAAAUUCCGAAGUAUUUUUUCUUAUAUUUAACGGUACAACUAACAAGUUAUUUUACGUGUAUACAGCGAAAUUGAUCAAUCGUAAGUUUUAUGACAACCGAUAAUAAUAUGGAAAUUAUUCGAAGUGAGAUCGGUUCCAAUACAUACAUAUAUACAUAUAUAUGUUAACUGAUAAAAGUACUUCGCUGUAUGCUGUCUCCUCUGUAUUUUCAUAAGACCUUGAAUAACACGUCUCUGAUGAACUAUUCUUUCGUACGAUCGUUCCCUAAUUUACAUAUUCUGAUGUUGACAUAAUAAACAGAAACGUUGUAUCUCGCACAGAAUUGCCGGUGUUAUCAUGAUAUUUCAGUGAACGUCGUUAAUGAAUUGCAGAACAGCUUGAUCGAAAUAUCUAUGUCUAUAUAUAGCGUCGUUACGAAGAUAACUUUGGGAUAAAAAAAUGAAAAUUUACGUAAGCACAGACAAAAAAAAAAAAAAAAUAGAAGAAGAAAUAUCAAAGUGGCGGUUAAAUCAUCGUAAUCGUAACAAAAUUAUUCAUGCUCGAAUCUAAGGAAGCAACAGUAAGGUAUCUUUAAUUAAGAUUCAUAUCGUGCUGGCUCCUAGAGUUUUUCCACGAUUCCUCUCGCAUGAGCGCACGCGACGCGUUCGAGAAUGAAUACAUGGCAGGAACUCACGAGUUUGCGUGAUUGGCAUAUAAAAUACGCACAGAGAAGACAGUUGUACUUUACGUAUGUUGUCUUAGACACAAUGGGGAACACACCGUGAUGUGAACAAUUGCAACGAUGUAGACUUGAGAACAUUGAGAAAAAUCAUGGAAAGUAUAGUUAAUUCUAUAAUAUGUUCGAACGUUACUAUAUUAUAGGAAUAUUCCCAAUUUCUUAUAUAUCUUAGUUGUAAUUGGCGAUUAUCGUUAGAGAUAGAGAUAAUUAGCAAUUAUACUAAUCGGUACUUUUGUCCGAUAAAAAUGAAUUCGAUAAAAGUUGCCUACGACUAUAGCAUUAGAAAUGCUGCUUUACUCAAUUUCUAAAAAAAAAAAAAAAAAAGAAAAAAAGAAAAAAAGAAAAGAAAAGGAAGAAAAAGUUGCAAAACGAGAUCUAAUUACUUGAUAUCUUGAAGUGGAUGUUACUCCGAUUAUACCGUAUAAGUAGAAACGGUUUAUGGAAACUACUGAUCGCGAGACAACGCAGAAAACAACCGGAAGUCUCAACUCAACGAUGAAUCGAUAGAAAGACGUUCUGUUUCGUGACUAUGCAGGCGUUGAAGUCUCUUCUCCGCGCAGAUCAACGGAGGAAGAUUUCUCAGAAAUUCGUCGGGUAUUUGUCACACUUCUGAAGUUGA